Molecule: ribosomal RNA, 444 nt
Filed under: uncultured Alphaproteobacteria bacterium
Lineage: Bacteria; Pseudomonadati; Pseudomonadota; Alphaproteobacteria
Description: bacterial SSU rRNA
Rfam family: Bacterial small subunit ribosomal RNA
Source: RNAcentral
UGUCCUACGGGGGGCUGCAGUGGGGAAUCUUGCGCAAUGGGGGCAACCCUGACGCAGCCAUGCCGCGUGAACGAUGAAGGCCUUAGGGUUGUAAAGUUCUUUUACCCGUGACGAUGAUGACGGUAACGGGGGAAUAAGCUCCGGCUAACUUCGUGCCAGCAGCCGCGGUAAUACGAAGGGGGCUAGCGUUGUUCGGAAUUACUGGGCGUAAAGCGCGCGCAGGCGGUUCGAUAAGUUGGGGGUGAAAUCCCCGGGCUCAACCCGGGAAUGGCCUUCAAGACUGUCGAGCUAGAGGACGAGAGAGGUGAGUGGAAUUCCCAGUGUAGAGGUGAAAUUCGUAGAUAUUGGGAAGAACACCGGUGGCGAAGGCGGCUCACUGGCUCGUUUCUGACGCUGAGGCGCGAAAGCGUGGGGAGCAAACAGGAUUAGAUACCCCGGUAGUCU